Molecule: RNA transcript, 4820 nt
Organism: Cebus imitator (Panamanian white-faced capuchin)
Lineage: Eukaryota; Metazoa; Chordata; Mammalia; Primates; Cebidae
Gene: SASS6
Gene name: SAS-6 centriolar assembly protein
Exons: 17
Source: RefSeq, a predicted model, not a curated record
AGAACCGGAAGAAUCCGAUGGUGGCUGGCGAGGGCCAAGUCUCUUACGUCUUCCUCUCGUUUCUCUCUCCCCGCCUCCUCCGCAGAAGCCGAGCGCCAAACUCAAACUUUAUCAGGACCCGGACGUUUCUCUGGCUAGUUUCGAGGGCCGGGCCUGUUGGGCCUUUCCGCACACCAGCCGGGGCAGCGAGCCAACAUGAGCCAAGUUCUGUUCCACCAACUAGUCCCGUUGCAGGUGAAAUGCAAAGACUGCGAGGAGAGGACUUAGUUAUUCGUCUGACUGAUGACACGGAUCCAUUUUUUUUAUAUAACCUUGUUAUAUCUGAGGAAGAUUUUCAAAGUUUAAAAUUCCAGCAAGGUCUUCUGGUAGACUUCUUAGCUUUCCCACAAAAAUUUAUAGAUCUCCUUCAGCAGUGUACUCAAGAACAUGCCAAAGAAAUUCCAAGGUUUUUGCUACAGUUAGUUUCUCCAGCAGCUAUUUUGGAUAACUCACCUGCAUUUUUAAAUGUGGUAGAGACAAAUCCUUUUAAGCAUCUUACACACCUCUCACUAAAACUUUUACCUGGAAAUGAUGUGGAGAUAAAGAAAUUUCUAGCAGGCUGUUUGAAAUGUAGCAAGGAAGAAAAAUUAUCAUUGACGCAAUCACUAGAUGAUGUUACUAGGCAACUGGACUUUACACAAAAGAUAUUAACAGAAAAAAACCAAGAAUUGGAUAAGUUACGGAAUGAAUGGGCAUCACACACAGCAGCCUUGACAAACAAGCAUUCUCAGGAACUGACAAAUGAAAAGGAAAAAGCCUUGCAGGCACAGGCUCAGUAUCAACAGCAGCAUGAACAACAGAAAAAAGAUUUAGAAAUCCUCCAUCAACAAAACAUCCAGCAGCUGCAACACAGACUAUCUGAUUUAGAAGCAGCUAAUAAAGACCUAACUGAAAGAAAAUAUAAAGGAGACUCCACUAUUAGAGAACUUAAAGCAAAACUUUCUGGUGUUGAAGAGGAGCUGCAGCGGACUAAGCAAGAGGUUCUCUCUUUGCGAAGAGAGAAUUCUACAUUAGAUGCUGAAUGCCAUGAGAAAGAAAAGCAUAUUAAUCAGCUACAAACAAAAGUAGCAGUUUUAGAACAGGAAAUCAAGGAUAAGGACCAGCUUGUUUUAAGAACAAAAGAAGCAUUUGAUACAAUCCAGGAACAAAAGGUGGUUUUAGAAGAAAAUGGUGAGAAAAAUCAAGUACAACUAGGAAAGCUUGAAGCUACAAUAAAAUCAUUAUCUGCAGAACUUCUGAAGGCAAAUGAAAUUAUCAAGAAGUUACAAGGGGAUCUGAAAACUUUAAUGGGUAAGUUGAAAUUGAAGAAUACAGUUACUAUUCAGCAAGAAAAGCUCUUGGCUGAGAAGGAGGAAAAAUUACAAAAGGAGCAAAAGGAAUUACAAGAUGUCGGGCAGUCUCUUCGAAUUAAAGAGCAAGAGGUAUGCAAAUUACAAGAACAGUUAGAAGCUACAGUUAAAAAACUUGAAGAAAGCAAACAACUUCUAAAAAAUAAUGAAAAGUUAAUCACAUGGUUAAAUAAAGAACUAAACGAAAAUCAGCUAGUGAGAAAGCAAGAUGUAUUGGGACCUUCUACUACUCCACUUGCCCAUUCUAGCAGCAAUGCAAUCAGAAGUGGAAUUUCUCCUAACCUGAAUAUGGUUGAUGGUAGACUGACUUACCCAACCUGUGGGAUUGGUUAUCCUGUCUCCUCUGCAUAUGCAUUCCAGAAAACCUUCCCUCAUUCGAUAUCUGCCAAAAAUACCAGCCACCCUGGUUCAGGAACAAAGGUUCAGUUUAAUUUGCAAUUUACAAAACCAAACGCAUCGCUAGGAGAUGUUCAGUCAGAAGCAGUUAUUAGUAUGCCUUGCUCAACUGAUAAGGAAAAUAGUGAAAAUUUAGGGUUGGAAUCCAAAUACCUGAAGAAAAGAGAAGAUAGCAUUCCUUUACGAGGACUCAGUCAGAACCUAUUUAAUAAUUCAGACCAUCAGAAAGAUGGCACGUUAGGAGCAUUACAGACAUCUUCCAAACCCACAGUGCUCUCCUCUGCAUCUUCAGCAUAUUUCCCUGGGCAGUUACCAAACAGUUAAUUCUAGUGUCAUGUUUUACUUUUUAUUGAUAUUUUAGAAACUCAGGUGCUUAAAAAAAUAUGUCAACACAAAUCAAAUCCUAAAUAAGCAAGUUUCAAAUUUUACUUGAGCUGUUAGACUGAAUCCUUUGUUAAGUUACAGGAACAAAUUUCUACUUGGGAAUUGGUAAAGACUGUGAGUAAAUGACAUUUUUUGGUUUGUGAACACGGUGUUUUAUAGAAUAAUAGUAGGAAUUUUAUUAAGCUAAUCUUUAGAAAUUCAGUUCUAAGGAAAGAGUUGAUCCUUAUAAGGGAGAUUCUAAUCACACUGAAAAUCCGGGCAAACUAAAACUUGUUCAUAAUCUCAUACUAUGCAACCAAAGAAUGCUAAUUCAUUUCAUCACUUUCAUUGGUAAAAUAAAACUUUUAAAUUCAACAUCUGAAAUUAUGAGGGAAAAUGGUUACCUCCUGCAAUGUACUACUGAUGACAUUUACAUUAAAGGGAAAAGUUCUAAAUUUACCUUAAAUUUAACUGAAAUGAAUUAAGCCUUCAUAGCAUUUUUUCCUUGAAACAUUUAAAUUUGCUAUUAAUAAGUUUGUUAUAAAAAUAAUUUGGACAGUGUAUGUGAGCAGAUUAAGUAUAGGGUCUCUAGUCAUUUGAACUGACAAGUUUUUUAAACUUCAGUGCUUCCUUAAUGUUUAUACUCAUCUUAAUUUUUUUUCCAUUUGGAGUUUUAUUAGUUAUGCAGCUAAAUCUGUUAUCAGUGGAAUUUUAAAACUUGGUACCAUACAAAAUCUAUAUCAUGAAUAUUCACUUAUUUAUUUUUAUAGUAUCAGAAUUUGGGUUGAUUUCAAUGUUAAUAAACUAGGCAGAACAAAUAACUGUUAGAAGGUACAAUUUUCUUCUCUUCUCUGUAUCUAAAAGUUUUAAGAAUUGUUCCUUGGGAAAAAUUGAUUUUUAAAAAUUCAGCUAGAAUCAUAGGGCCUCAUUUUGUUUUCUUAUUGACAAACUAUACCUGGUAGCAUUCUCUAAAGAGUCUUCUAGAUCAGUCUUUGUAAAGUACUAAUGCUCGUCAUAAUUUUAAAAUUACUUUCAAAUACCUUCUUACACAGAUGAAGAAACAUUUCAAGAUAUUAAUGAUAUAAUAAUAAUGUUACUGAGUUCCAUGGUAAGACAAAGAAUCUUUACAGUAUUUUUUUUUUUUUUUAAUGAAGCCAGUAUCUUGAAACUACUGGCAGUUCAAAGUGUCUUAAACUAGGGAUCUAAUCUGAAAAUUCUGUAAAUGUUAGGCAGUGAUACUCCCCCGUGUCCUCUCCAUUUAGAUACACUACUGUAUUAGUGAGAAUACUUGGUACAAUAACUUGAAAGCACUUGCUAUUGAAGGAAAGAAGCCUCUUGGUGAUUUUGGAAGGGGCUUUGUUGUAAAUACUAUGUAAUAUAUAUAGAAUGUUGUGACAGGUUUUGGAUGGGAUGCAUGAUAUACAGGUAGCUCUCUUUUUAAUAUAUCUCUUUACACACACACACACACACACACACACACACACACACACACACACACACACGGAAAGUCGAAUUUUUACAAAGAUAGGAUAGAGAUCAUUCGAUAUUAGCUUGCAAAUUUUUUUGUAGUAAAUGUAUAUGGACUUCCAAUGUGCUAAAUCUUUGCUCUACCUCUUAAACUUUUAGUUGAAAUUGUUUUGCAGUGUAAAAUUGUACAUGUGUUAAUAAUCAAAGUGUUGCAUUUAAUGUUAUUUCUGUCAACGGUGAACUUUGUUAAUAAACUAUUAAAAUUACUUUUGGGGUAUGACAUGUAAAAAGUAUAUUAAAAGAAAAAAACAAGAAUGAUUUAUAACAUCUACACUAGAAAAUCAAGUACUUCCAGCUAAUCUGCAUACUGCAUUUUUGUUUCUUUCCUCUUGUUUUCCUACAGUUUUUUUAGGGAAAAGAAAUGGAUGCGAAGCAAGAAUAAUGCUUUGAUUUGUUACUGUAAAAAUGAUUAAGGUAACAAAGCCAAAACAGGCCCUAUAGGAACUCACAGAUCAAGACUUUAAAAAAAAAAAUCAUUAAAAUAUUUAACUUUUUAUUAACAUAAUAUUUACAUUUCUUUUAAGACCUUAUUUAACCAUAGUGAGUGUUCCAAGUUUAAAAAGCAUUAAGCAAUAACCACACACAAGAUGAAAAGUGUAAACUAUACAGUACUUUAUGUACAAUUUUUACAAAGUAACACUUUUUUAAAUAAUAUAACUGGACACAAAAAUAUACACUUUAGAGAAAUUCACAUCAGUAAUUGUAUAAAGCUCUCCUCUAGGGUCCUGAAAAUUUAGGACAAACAUUAGCUCUGUAAAUAAAGUGUUACUGUGACAGUCCUGAAAGGCCACUAUAUAUAUUUAUCUACAUAUAGAUAUCACAUUUACUUUUUCAAGGCUACCAGCUUUACUAUAUAAUUUGUAGAUUAUGUAUUCAAGUGUUGAGGUGCUUAUGAUUAUGCAAACAUUAAAAGAAUAGUGGUAUAAGAAGUAGCUGGGGAACAAAUUUGAGCCAGCAUUUAGAUUUACAGGCUCUAAACACCCCAAUUCAAAUUCUAAAUGGCUGAUACUUUCUCACUUCCAAAACAGUAGUGAAUAAUGUUUAAAAGUACUGCAAACAAGCUUGAAACAUGAUUCAGAUUUAGUACAGUUGAGUUUUUUUUUUUUUUUUUAAUGCAAACAAUUCAUUUACUAUUUCUUUGUUUUA